ACGGAAGGCAGCAGUGGGGAAUAUUGGACAAUGGGGGAAACCCUGAUCCAGCGACGCCGCGUGAGUGAAGAAGUAUUUCGGUAUGUAAAGCUCUAUCAGCAGGGAAGAAAAUGACGGUACCUGACUAAGAAGCCCCGGCUAACUACGUGCCAGCAGCCGCGGUAAUACGUAGGGGGCAAGCGUUAUCCGGAAUUACUGGGUGUAAAGGGUGCGCAGGUGGUAAGGCAAGUCAGGAGUGAAAUGCCGGGGCUCAACCCCGGAACUGCUCUUGAAACUGUUUAACUGGAGUGCAGGAGAGGUAAGCGGAAUUCCUAGUGUAGCGGUGAAAUGCGUAGAUAUUAGGAGGAACACCAGUGGCGAAGGCGGCUUACUGGACUGUAACUGACACUGAGGCACGAAAGCGUGGGGAGCAAACAGGAUUAGAUACCCUGGUA
This 434-nucleotide ribosomal RNA is filed under the name uncultured Coprococcus sp. RNAcentral's name for it is "partial 16S ribosomal RNA". It matches the Rfam family "Bacterial small subunit ribosomal RNA", at positions 341 to 792 of the family's 1533-position model. The record is from RNAcentral. Lineage: Bacteria; Bacillati; Bacillota; Clostridia; Lachnospirales; Lachnospiraceae.